UAGGGUAUUGGCCUACCGUGGCAAUGACGGGUAACGGGGAAUUAGGGUUCGAUUCCGGAGAGGGAGCCUGAGAAACGGCUACCACAUCUAAGGAAGGCAGCAGGCGCGCAAAUUACCCAAUCCUAAUACAGGGAGGUAGUGACAAGAAAUAACAAUACAGGACUUUUUGGUUUUGUAAUUGGAAUGAGUUAAGUAUAAACCCCUUUACAAGUAUCAAUUGGAGGGCAAGUCUGGUGCCAGCAGCCGCGGUAAUUCCAGCUCCAAUAGCGUAUAUUAAAGUUGUUGCAGUUAAAAAGCUCGUAGUUGGAUUUCUGUUAAUAAUUUAUAUAAAAUAUUUUGAAUAUUUAUAUAACAUUAACAUAAUUCAUAUUACUAUAUUUUUUAGUAUAUGAAAUUUUACUUUGAGAAAAUUAGAGUGCUUAAAGCAGGCAUAUGCCUUGAAUACUCCAGCAUGGAAUAAUAUUAAAGAUUUUUAUCUUUCUUAUUGGUUCUAAGAUAAGAAUAAUGAUUAAUAGGGACAGUUGGGGGCAUUUGUAUUUAACAGUC
This 546-nucleotide ribosomal RNA is filed under the name Cryptosporidium parvum. RNAcentral's name for it is "SSU rRNA". It matches the Rfam family "Eukaryotic small subunit ribosomal RNA", at positions 329 to 906 of the family's 1831-position model. The record is from RNAcentral. Lineage: Eukaryota; Apicomplexa; Conoidasida; Eucoccidiorida; Cryptosporidiidae.